Molecule: ribosomal RNA, 209 nt
Filed under: uncultured bacterium
Lineage: Bacteria
Description: partial 16S ribosomal RNA
Rfam family: Bacterial small subunit ribosomal RNA
Source: RNAcentral
CACGUAGGCGGAUAUUUAAGUCAGGGGUGAAAUCCCCAGAGCUCAACUCUGGAACUGCCUUUGAUACUGGGUAUCUUGAGUAUGGAAGAGGUAAGUGGAAUUCCGAGUGUAGAGGUGAAAUUCGUAGAUAUUCGGAGGAACACCAGUGGCGAAGGCGGCUUACUGGUCCAUUGCUGACGCUGAGGUGCGAAAGCGGUGGGGAGCAAACA